Molecule: ribosomal RNA, 406 nt
Filed under: uncultured microorganism
Description: bacterial SSU rRNA
Rfam family: Bacterial small subunit ribosomal RNA
Source: RNAcentral
CAGCCGCCGCGGUAAUACGGAGGAUGCGAGCGUUAUCCGGAUUUAUUGGGUUUAAAGGGAGCGCAGACGGGUUUUUAAGUCAGCUGUGAAAGUUUGGGGCUCAACCUUAAAAUUGCAGUUGAUACUGGAGACCUUGAGUGCAGUUGAGGCAGGCGGAAUUCGUGGUGUAGCGGUGAAAUGCUUAGAUAUCACGAAGAACUCCGAUUGCGAAGGCAGCUUGCUAAAGUGUAAUUGACGUUCAUGCUCGAAAGUGUGGGUAUCAAACAGGAUUAGAUACCCUGGUAGUCCACACGGUAAACGAUGGAUACUCGCUGUUGGCGAUAUACGGUCAGCGGCUUAGCGAAAGCGUUAAGUAUCCCACCUGGGGAGUACGCCGGCAACGGUGAAACUUAAAGGAAUUGGCGGG